Molecule: ribosomal RNA, 459 nt
Filed under: uncultured bacterium
Lineage: Bacteria
Description: bacterial SSU rRNA
Rfam family: Bacterial small subunit ribosomal RNA
Source: RNAcentral
GAUGAACGUUGGCGGUGUGCCUAAUACAUGCAAGUCGAACGAAGACUGUAGCAAUACUGGCUCAGUGGCGAACGGGUGAGUAACGCGUUGGUGAUCUGCCUUGAAGUGUGGAAUAACGUUUCGAAAGGAACGCUAAUACCGCAUGUGCUCUCGAUUUUCAGAAAGUUGAGAGUAAAGGAUUUAUUCGCUUCAAGAGGAGCCUGCGUCCCAUCAGCUGGUUGGUAGGGUAACGGCCUACCAAGGCUAUGACGGGUAGGGGACCUGAGAGGGUGGCCCCCCACAAUGGAACUGAAACACGGUCCAUACACCUACGGGUGGCAGCAGUAGGGAAUAUUAGAAAUGGACGAAAGUCUGAUCUAGCAACACCGCGUGUGCGAAGAAGGCCUUCGGGUCGUAAAGCACUUUUUGGAAGGAAUAGGAAGGAAUGUACUUCCAGAAUAAGUCUCGGCUAACUACGUG